UACGGGAGGCAGCAGUAAGGAAUAUUCCGCAAUGAGCGAAAGCUUGAUGGAGCGACACAGAGUGCAGGAUGAAGUCUUUAGGGAUGUAAACUGCUGUUGUAAGGGAAGAAAAAACUAGAUAGGAAAUGAUUUAGUCUUGACGGUACCUUAUUAGAAAGUGACGGCAAACUAUGUGCCAGCAGCCGCGGUAAUACAUAGGUCGCAAGCGUUAUCCGGAAUUAUUGGGCGUAAAGCGUCCGCAGGUUUUUUGUUAAGUUUAAGGUUAAAUGCUAAAGCUCAACUUUAGUUCGCUUUAGAUACUGACAAAAUAGAAUUAUGAAGAGGUUAGCGGAAUUCCUAGUGGAGCGGUGGAAUGCGUAGAUAUUAGGAAGAACACCAAUAGGCGAAGGCAGCUAACUGGUCAUAUAUUGACACUAAUGGACGAAAGCGUGGGGAGCAAACAGGAUUAGAUACCCUGGUAGUCC
RNAcentral lists this ribosomal RNA (464 nucleotides) under uncultured bacterium. RNAcentral's name for it is "bacterial SSU rRNA". It matches the Rfam family "Bacterial small subunit ribosomal RNA", at positions 340 to 796 of the family's 1533-position model. The record is from RNAcentral.